This 250-nucleotide ribosomal RNA is filed under the name uncultured prokaryote. RNAcentral describes it as "partial 16S ribosomal RNA". It matches the Rfam family "Bacterial small subunit ribosomal RNA", at positions 524 to 773 of the family's 1533-position model. The record is from RNAcentral.
UACAGAGGUCUCGAGCGUUGUUCGGAUUUACUGGGCGUAAAGGGCGCGUAGGCGGCGCGGCGUGUCGAGUGUGAAAUCUCCGGGCUCAACCCGGAAAGUACGCUCGAAACUGCCAUGCUGGAGUACGGGAUGGGGAAUCGGAAUAUAGGGUGUAGCGGUGAAAUGCGUUGAUAUCCUAUAGAACACCCGAGGCGAAGGCGGAUUACUGGAACGUUACUGACGCUGAGGCGCGAAAGUCGGGGGAGCAAAC